CGUGAGUGAUGAAGGCUUUCGGGUCGUAAAGCUCUGUCAAGUGGGAAGAACCUGUUUGAUGUUAAUACCAUCAAGCACUGACGGUACCACUGGAGGAAGCACCGGCUAACUCCGUGCCAGCAGCCGCGGUAAGACGGAGGGUGCAAGCGUUAUUCGGAAUUACUGGGCGUAAAGGGCGCGUAGGCGGCUCCCUAAGUCAGGCGUGAAAGCCCGGGGCUCAACCCCGGAAGUGCGUUUGAAACUGGAGAGCUUGAGUACGGGAGAGGGAAGUGGAAUUCCUGGUGUAGAGGUGAAAUUCGUAGAUAUCAGGAGGAACACCGGUGGCGAAGGCGACUUCCUGGACCGAUACUGACGCUGAGGCGCGAAAGCGUGGGGAGCAAACAGGAUUAGAGACCCUGGUAGUCCACGCCGUAAACGAUGAACACUAGGUGUAGUGGGUAUUGACCCCCGCUGUGCCGUAGCUAACGCAUUAA
This 473-nucleotide ribosomal RNA is filed under the name uncultured delta proteobacterium. RNAcentral describes it as "bacterial SSU rRNA". It matches the Rfam family "Bacterial small subunit ribosomal RNA", at positions 400 to 863 of the family's 1533-position model. The record is from RNAcentral. Lineage: Bacteria; Deltaproteobacteria.